RNAcentral lists this ribosomal RNA (253 nucleotides) under uncultured bacterium. Its description in RNAcentral is "partial 16S ribosomal RNA". It matches the Rfam family "Bacterial small subunit ribosomal RNA", at positions 524 to 776 of the family's 1533-position model. The record is from RNAcentral.
UACAGAGGGUGCGAGCGUUGUCCGGAAUCACUAGGCGUAAAGGGCGCGUAGGUGGCUGGGUAAGCGUGCGGUGAAAGCUCGGGGCUCAACCCCGGAACUGCCUCCGAAACUGCCGGUCUGGAGGUCGAGAGAGGCGAGUGGAAUUCCGAGUGUAGAGGUGAAAUUCGUAGAUAUUCGGAGGAACACCAGUGGCGAAGGCGGCUCGCUGGCUCGAACCUGACGCUGAGGUGCGAAAGCGUGGGGAGCAAACAGG